GACGAACGCUGGCGGCGUGCUUAACACAUGCAAGUCGAACGGAAAGGCCCUGCUUUUGUGGGGUGCUCGAGUGGCGAACGGGUGAGUAACACGUGAGUAACCUGCCCUUGACUUUGGGAUAACUUCAGGAAACUGGGGCUAAUACCGGAUAGGAGCUCCUGCUGCAUGGUGGGGGUUGGAAAGUUUCGGCGGUUGAGGAUGGACUCGCGGCUUAUCAGCUUGUUGGUGGGGUAGUGGCUUACCAAGGCUUUGACGGGUAGCCGGCCUGAGAGGGUGACCGGCCACAUUGGGACUGAGAUACGGCCCAGACUCCUACGGGAGGCAGCAGUGGGGAAUAUUGCACAAUGGGCGGAAGCCUGAUGCAGUAACGCCGCGUGCGGGAUGACGGCCUUCGGGUUGUAAACCGCUUUCGCCUGUGACGAAGCGUGAGUGACGGUAAUGGGUAAAGAAGCACCGGCUAACUACGUG
This 468-nucleotide ribosomal RNA is filed under the name uncultured bacterium. RNAcentral describes it as "partial 16S ribosomal RNA". It matches the Rfam family "Bacterial small subunit ribosomal RNA", at positions 28 to 507 of the family's 1533-position model. The record is from RNAcentral.